Molecule: transfer RNA, 78 nt
Filed under: Zestomonas carbonaria
Lineage: Bacteria; Pseudomonadati; Pseudomonadota; Gammaproteobacteria; Pseudomonadales; Pseudomonadaceae
Description: Pseudomonas sp. Wesi-4 tRNA-Ser
Source: RNAcentral
UCGUUGAUGGCACGCAGGACGGGCCGCCCGUCGCUGGAGGCGAUGGUCCAUUCGAGGUUCUGCGCCGCGUCGCUGGGC